AGCGAACGCUGGCGGCAGGCCUAACACAUGCAAGUCGAACGAACCUUUCGGGGUUAGUGGCGGACGGGUGAGUAACACGUGGGAACGUGCCUUUAGGUUCGGAAUAACUCAGGGAAACUUGUGCUAAUACCGAAUGUGCCCUUCGGGGGAAAGAUUAAUCGCCUUUAGAGCGGCCCGCGUCUGAUUAGCUAGUUGGUUGAGGUAAUGGCUCACCAAGGCGACGAUCAGUAGCUGGUCUGAGAGGAUGAUCAGCCACAUUGGGACUGAGACACGGCCCAAACUCCUACGGGAGGCAGCAGUGGGGAAUCUUGCGCAAUGGGCGAAAGCCUGACGCAGCCAUGCCGCGUGAAUGAUGAAGGUCUUAGGAUUGUAAAAUUCUUUCACCGGGGACGAUAGUGACGGUACCCGGAGAAGAAGCCCCGGCUAACUUCGUG
This 434-nucleotide ribosomal RNA is filed under the name uncultured bacterium. RNAcentral's name for it is "partial 16S ribosomal RNA". It matches the Rfam family "Bacterial small subunit ribosomal RNA", at positions 29 to 507 of the family's 1533-position model. The record is from RNAcentral.